CGAGUGAAGCGGCAACAGCUCAAAUUUGAAAUCUGGCUCCUUCGGGGCCCGAGUUGUAAUUUGCAGAGGAUGCUUCGGGUACGGGUUCCUUCCGAGUUCCCUGGAACGGGACGCCAUAGAGGGUGAGAGCCCCGUCUGGUAGGACACCCAGCCCGUGUGAAGCUCCCUCGGCGAGUCGAGUAGUUUGGGAAUGCUGCUCUAACGGGAGGUAUACUCCUUCCAAGGCUAAAUACCGGCUGGAGACCGAUAGCGCACAAGUAGAGUGAUCGAAAGAUGAAAAGCACUUUGAAAAGAGAGUCAAAUAGCACGUGAAAUUGUUGAAAGGGAAGCGCUCGCUACCAGACAUGGGUUCGGCGGUUCAACCGGGGCCACGCCCCGGGGCACUCCGCCGGCCCAGGCCAGCAUCAGCUUUCCGUCGGGGGCAAAGACGUCGGGAAUGUGGCUCCCCUCCGGGGGAGUGUUAUAGCCCGGCGUGUCAUACCCUUCGGGGGGCUGAGGUACGCGCUUCUGCAAGGAUGCUGGCGUAAUGGUAGCUAGUGACCCGUCUUGAAACACGGACCAAGGAGUCAACCUUAUGUGCGAGUGCCCGGGCGUAAAACCCCAGCGCGGAAUGAAAGUGAACGUAGGUGAGAGCUUCGGCGCAU
This 644-nucleotide ribosomal RNA is filed under the name Gibellulopsis sp. RNAcentral describes it as "eukaryotic LSU rRNA". It matches the Rfam family "Eukaryotic large subunit ribosomal RNA", at positions 90 to 758 of the family's 3401-position model. The record is from RNAcentral. Lineage: Eukaryota; Fungi; Ascomycota; Sordariomycetes; Glomerellales; Plectosphaerellaceae.